This 1431-nucleotide long non-coding RNA is filed under the name Macaca fascicularis (crab-eating macaque). RNAcentral describes it as "lncRNA (ENSMFAG00000057616.1)". The record is from RNAcentral. Lineage: Eukaryota; Metazoa; Chordata; Mammalia; Primates; Cercopithecidae.
CCCAUGUGAUACGUGGAAGUAAAAAGCUAUCAAUGACCAAGCAUCUGAACUCUUAUCCCACCCUGUUCUUCUCCUGCCAUGUAAAUUUAAAAUUAAUAAGCCUGCUAUUAGAGAACAGAGUUGGUGCUGCAUCUGUCUUCCUAAAAAUAUGGAUAAUUACCAGCCCACAAUGGCUUCUAAUCAGAUUUGAGUAGUCCCUUAGACAGGAAGCUAAAGUGCCUCAGCCCUAAACUGAGAAGAAAACAGAAACUGGAAUGCUCUAGGUUUGAUUUUUUCCCCCUUGUUCUAAAGUUGCUGUUCCCGAAUCUCCUUCUACUGUCUUGCUUAUAAAAUGUAUGAGAAACAGGGAAAUUUAAAGACAUGAUAGAAAUGGCCACUUUUUCUAGGUACAAACUUUGUGAACAUUAUUUUCAGCUGCUGGGCUUUUUCUCCACAAACUGUGAGCCUGGAGGACAUUUUCUCCCUCGUGGUUACACAUUCAGAGUCAGGGAAGGUGGCUUUAGCAGUAAAGAGGGGAGUGCAGUGAGAAGUGACCGGACACUGAGAAGGGCAGACAGGGACUCUACCUCGGUGGCCUGCAGCACUCCUGGGCCUCGGCCUUUACUUUUCUAUCUGUACAAAGGAUCUAAAGGCCCGUGAUUCUAGGCCACGACAGCUCUUCAUACACACAUACGCGAACAUCACUGUGAAAAGCUGUGACACUUGGCUGAUUUCCUGAAGAAGUUAUCUUGUAUCAUUUCUACUCAAGUACUCCACCUCCUUCCAGACAAGUAUCUGAGGAUGAUGGGCUAUCCCACAGCCAUGUGUGUAACCUCUGCUGCUUACGAUCCCUGUUCACAUAGCAUUUUCCAAAAGCAUUUGGUGUGAAGUGACAGAAGAAAGAAGAAUAAGGUUCUUUCAGCCCAUUCAUUCAUUCAUUCAACAAAUAUUGACUGACUAUCUACGUGCCAGACACUGGUGAUAUAACAGCGAACAUAUAUUUUUGUAGGUAGAGACAGACAACCAAAAAGUAUGUUAAAGAGUGAUCGAUGCUGUAGAGGAAAAUACACCAGGAAACAGGAAAGAAGAAUACCCCUAGCCACCCUACACUGGGGUGACGCUAGUGUUACAAAAUGGAAACAGCGGCCGGGCGCGGUGGCUCACACCUGUAUUCUCAGCUCUUUGGGAGACUGAGGCAGGCAGAUCACCUGAGUUCAGGAGUUCAAGAUCAGCCUGACCAAUAUGGCAAAACUCUGUCUCUACUAAAAACAUAAAAAUUAGCUGGACGUGGUGGCACACACCUGUAAUCCCAGUUACUCAGGAAGCUGAGGCACAAGAAUCAUUUGAACCUGGGAGGCAGAGGUUGGAGUGAGCCGAUAUCACGCAACUGCACUCCAGCCUGGGUGACAGAGGAAGACUCUGUCUCAAAAAAAAAAAAAUAAAAAAUAAAAA